AAUAGGCUGUGGGGGUGCUUUAUAUAGCUGAGAAGAGAUAUUCUCUAACCCUUUGAACCUGAUCCAGAUAAAACUGGCGUAGGGAAGCAAUUUCACAUGACUU
RNAcentral lists this non-coding RNA (103 nucleotides) under Clostridiaceae bacterium BL-3. Its description in RNAcentral is "TPP". It matches the Rfam family "TPP riboswitch aptamer (THI element)". Rfam says of the family: Vitamin B(1) in its active form thiamin pyrophosphate (TPP) is an essential coenzyme that is synthesised by coupling of pyrimidine and thiazole moieties in bacteria. The record is from RNAcentral. Lineage: Bacteria; Bacillati; Bacillota; Clostridia; Eubacteriales; Clostridiaceae.